This is a non-coding RNA of Misgurnus anguillicaudatus (oriental weatherfish), 1011 nucleotides long. The record is from RefSeq and is a predicted model, not a curated record. NCBI's taxonomy places the organism in Eukaryota, Metazoa, Chordata, Actinopteri, Cypriniformes, Cobitidae.
AGGAGGAAGCAAACGCAAGCGAGUGCACGAGCACAAGACACAACACGUCAAGACAAGGGAGCGGACGAGUGCACAGUCGACAAGGCAAACAAUCGGACGAGCGCACGGUCGACAAGACAAACAAGCGGACGAGCGCACCAUCGACUUGACACCACAACUGUCAUUGGACCAUUCUUCAAGAUGUCUCUCGGUUCACUGGAAUCCACUGAGCAGCAGAUGGUCGAGGUGAUCAUUGGUUCUUUGUCUGGUCCAGUUGAAGAUUUCAACCAGCACAAGUUUGAUUUCUUCAAGAUGAUCAAUGUCAUUAUACAAUUACAAUACCAGAAAUAUCCCACCUGACUCUAGAUCACUUCAAUCUUUAUAUCUCCUCAUGAGUCAGUCAAGUUCAAAACCCAUCAUUAUAAGAAGAAUGAGACAUCACUUUGUUUAAAAGCACUGUGUCCAACAAAAACAGUGACUAAACACAGUUCACCACCUACAAACACAAAGGGGCCGUUUCCCGGACAGGGAUUAGACUAGUCCUAGACUAAAAUAAUUGUAAGAGCUGUCCAAACUGAAAACAACUUGCACUGACAUAUCUUAAAAUACAUCAGUGCCCUUUGUUUAGCCUCAAAAUGCCCACAAGUAAUGUUUUUAAGGCAUGUUUGUUAAAACUUGUUUUAUUUCCUAAUUAAACUAAGGCCUAGUCCUGUCUUAAACUAAUCCCUGUCCGCGAAACCAACCCAGAAUCACUCAGUAUCACCAAGCACAGAUUUCCAAACACACAAAACCGCAUUUUAUGUAGACACUGUCACAACAAAAGCACUUUAUACAAAACUUCAUCAAUAUUUAAUAAAUAUUAUGAGCCCUGUGUCCAUCGGUUAUGUGAUCACUCCUCUUUUGCCGUUAACACUGUCAGGAUUUAUUAAAGACAUGCACUGAAAAAUAACCACUGAAAAAGACAUGGACUAGGGAUGCAUAACGAUUAAUCGCAAUUAAUCUAUAGCAUAAUAAAAGUUUUUGUUUACAUCA